GUUGUUCGUUUGAUCGCCGCAUCUAUUUG
RNAcentral lists this small RNA (29 nucleotides) under Arabidopsis thaliana (thale cress). RNAcentral describes it as "ATSL216560". The record is from RNAcentral. Lineage: Eukaryota; Viridiplantae; Streptophyta; Magnoliopsida; Brassicales; Brassicaceae.